Molecule: ribosomal RNA, 513 nt
Filed under: uncultured bacterium
Lineage: Bacteria
Description: partial 16S ribosomal RNA
Rfam family: Bacterial small subunit ribosomal RNA
Source: RNAcentral
GACGAACGCUGGCGGCAUGCCUAAUACAUGCAAGUCGAGCGAACAGAUGAAGUGCUUGCACUUCUGACGUUAGCGGCGAACGGGUGAGUAACACGUAAGGAGUCUACCUAUAAGCGGGGGAUAACAUUCGGAAACGGGUGCUAAUACCGCAUAAUAUCUUCUUCCGCAUGGAAGAAGAUUGAAAGACGGCUCUGCUGUCACUUAUAGAUGACCUUGCGGUGCAUUAGUUAGUUGGUGGGGUAAUGGCCUACCAAGACGAUGAUGCAUAGCCGACCUGAGAGGGUGAUCGGCCACAUUGGGACUGAGACACGGCCCAAACUCCUACGGGAGGCAGCAGUAGGGAAUCUUCCGCAAUGGGCGAAAGCCUGACGGAGCAAUGCCGCGUGAGUGAAGAAGGCCUUCGGGUCGUAAAACUCUGUUAUAAGAGAAGAACAAAUUGUAGAGUAACUGCUACAGUCUUGACGGUAUCUUAUCAGGAAGCCACGGCUAACUACGUGCCAGCCGCCGCGGUAA